This is a long non-coding RNA of Sinocyclocheilus grahami, 3402 nucleotides long. RefSeq lists it as uncharacterized. NCBI's taxonomy places the organism in Eukaryota, Metazoa, Chordata, Actinopteri, Cypriniformes, Cyprinidae. The record is from RefSeq and is a predicted model, not a curated record. The transcript is spliced from 4 exons.
CUUCAAAGAUCCGAAUCAAGUAAACGAUUCCUUCACAAAUCGGACAUCGCGCACUCAAGACAGUUUUGUGGAUGAGCUUGUGGCGGCUUCAUACUGUUCUGCUUUGGCUUGAACACUGCUUACUAUCCAUGAUUUCUCGGUCUGAAGUUUAACUUUGAUAAUAGUGAUCUGCAUCUUCAACUAAAAGUAGUUUAUCCGCGACUUUGACACUCAAGCAGGUGUCCAUUUCAAUACAAUUAUGACUUUCACCAUGACUAGCAUUGCACCUACUGAUGUUGCAUCAACAACUGCAGCUCCACCGCAAACAGGCAUGACUGUCAUUGGAGUGGCAAUUGCCCUGAUCCUGCUGACUCUUGUUAUCUGUGGGUUCCUGCUGUACAGAUACUUGUGCCACAGUAAGGGUGUUUACAGAACCGCAGGUGAGCCUGCUCCAGGAGUGGACCCUGACCAGGUCUACAAUGACACCGUCACUGAAAACAAGAAGGAAUACUUCAUCUGAACUGCUUAGCAUCAGGGGGAUUUAACCCAUGAUCGAUACGCGUAGACUGCUGAAGACAUCUAAAUAGUCUAUGUAGAGAGGUGUAUGUGCAAGACAUAUGGGACAUAAACCACUAGUCUGUGCUGUAUGAAAGAAUGUUUGGUUGAAGGGAUACAGGUCGAGUUUUAUGUUGGGAGGAUAAGCCAGAAGUAAAAAGUUGUUUAUUCAUGAGGUCAAUAAGCUCACCAUCGGGUUUCGUAUGGUAAAGUUACUGUCAGUUACUGAGACAAUCAUUUUUUGCUGUCAAAUUGUUAUGCCUUUGUAUGUAGUUUAUAGUUCACUCAAAAAACAAACUCGCUGCUUCAGCAGAAAUGACAAGAAAGUUCAUAUGCAGUAGUUAUCAACAAAUAAUUUAUCAGUAAUUAUGGAGUUUUUAUCAGCUAUUAUUAGCGUUCAGGUAGCAUAAGUAGCACUGCACCUCUAUCAAAUGGAAAACAUUGGAGGCACUGUACUAAUUUUAUUUUAUUCGGUUUUAAGUCAAUAUAGUGUUAAUUUGCGGCUUUUCAACAUGCCUUUUCACUUUGAUAAUUUUGCCUAGCUUUUUAUUACUUUAAAAAAAAAAUUUAUUUUAUUGGCAGAACUCUUAGAUUAUGGAUAGUUGGAGAGUCCACUGUUACAGUGCCUUGUAAAACAUUUAAAUGUAUUUUACUUUUAUUUUUUAUUGACAUUUUAUAAUUCAAAAUGUAUUUUUGUUACAUAGGCAUGCUGUAACAGUGCCAAAUAUAAUACCGCUGUCAUUAUUUGUAAAACAAACACAUGCUGAUCAUAAUAUCAGAUGCAUAUAUGAUACUUGAUAUUUUUUUUGUGCAGGGUUACAGUGGUAUGUUACUUGUUAUGAAAAUGAAUGUAAUUUAUAUGUCGGAUUCUGAGUAAUAUUUUUUUAAUUGCUCUAUCAAUAUGAUACUGCAGUUAUUGAUUAUAAUACAAUGUCAAAUACAAGUGUCUAGCUAGUUGAAAAUUGCUAGUAAAACAAAAAUUUAGAUUUAAUUAGAAAUUAAUUCUGUGCUAAUAGUUUUGUCAGUGCAAAAAUGAUAUAUUGUAAGAUAUUUAACUUCCUUUAAGACUUUGGAUAAUGCAUCAUCUCCAAGAUCUAGAGUCAUUAUUGCAUUGGAGUGAAUGUGAAUUGGUGACUUUUGACAAACAUUUGUAAUGACCUGGAGAUAAACCGCCAAAUAUACAAACCAGCAUACAAAAAUAUAAACAUGAAACAUUGAAAGACAUAUUACAACACCGAUUGUCAAAAUUCAAAAUAGCUUUUAUUCUAAAUUUUGUUUUAUACUUAAGGUUUAGUAUAAAAAAAGUUAAGUGCACCACAUUUUCAUUGGAGACCAUUUUGUCAUGUAGCAAACUAGGAAGGACCUCGGUUCCUUGAUGCUGCAGUGUGCAUCCAUUCUAACCCAUCAUUAUCUUUUUAUUAUAUAUAUAUAUAUAUAUAUAUAAUCAAAAGGGUUCCCUGAACUGUAGUGCCCACAAAGACGUAUACCAUCCAUGACUGUCAUGGUAUUGAGGCUCAAGAUAAGCAGUGUAUCCGCUACAUUGCAUACACAAACACACGGUGCCACAUGCCAUGAUAAAAUGCUGCGCUAAGUUGAAACGGAUAUUGAGUUCUGAAGGCUUUGCCCCCAUGUUUUUUUGCCUUAUGUUAUUUUCCUAGCAAAGUAAGAAUAAAUGAAAUGGGAUUAAAUAAGGAAUGGCAUAAAGUCAGGUUAGGAAACUACCAGGUCAGAAGCCUACGUCACAGAAAAUUAUAGAAAUGGUGCUAAGGCAAUGCCAGCAUACUUGGCAUGUUUUUUUUUUUUGGUUUUUCUUUUUUACAUCAAAAAAUGUAUUUCCUUUAUUUGCAGAGAGAAAAUCUACCUGAAUGGUCUUUUUUUAUUCAAAUGGGCAAAACCUUUAGAACGGUACUGUAGUGUCGGAUACCCAGUGAUGCACCUGAUACAUGUAAAGCCUAAAAAAUUAGCCCCAUUUGCCAGGCUAGCAUAGCAUUUCCUAUAUUUUCAAAUUCAAUCAGAAAAUAUAUAUAGUAUAGUGACCAAAAAUAAUUUUGAUACCAGUGAAUAUACGGAGAAUAAACCUAAGUAAGCAUUUAUAAGCAUUUCACCUCUGUGCUAUCUAGCAAAAUAAGCAGCAUUUUAGAUUUACGGUCACAUCUAAUACAGAUAACUGCUACAGAGCUUAAGCGUGUAGUGUCGCAGAGUAAACGGCUGCUUUUGAAGGUCAUUCUAUCACUGUUGGGAGUAGAAAUGAAGAUUUCGCAAUUAAAUAAAUUAGAAGCAUAAAAAGCAGUGGAGACAACUGCUGGUGUAACUCCUUCCUUUUUUGAUAGGUAUUUUUCAAAAUCACAUUAGAGACGAGAGCAAAACUUUAAUCCCUUGCAUUACAUUUACUAAUAAACACCACGAUUUCUCAGCCGUUGUAUUUGCUGCUACGUAUUACCGCACUGCUUUGAAAAUCAUCAAUGCAGAACCAAUUAUAACUGACGCUCUUCGUAUUUAAAUGCAUAUGUACAAAAGAAAUCUGCAAAAACAUUUCAGAAUUGGUUGACAGUGCACAAAUUAAUCCUGUAGUACUCCUAAAAAAUUGAACAAUGAAAAUUCUUUAUUAAGAACAAAACUACUGAAAAGUGCAUGCAGAAACAUCAAGAUGCAACUAGGAAACAUUUAUAUAUUUUUAAAACACAACCCCUAGAAAAUGCAGUCACGGCAGUGGUUUGCUCUGCCCGGAAAGCAAUCACCAUCAUCUAAAUAUGAUAUGUUUAUUUAUUUCAGUAUGAAUCUGUGUGCAGAUGUACUAUGACAGAAGACUUACAAAAAGCGAAAAUCUUUGGUACAAGCAGCUCCCCACAAAAAAAAAAAAAAAAAAAA